RNAcentral lists this long non-coding RNA (212 nucleotides) under Elaeis guineensis (African oil palm). Its description in RNAcentral is "long non-coding RNA (EGUI_LNC051776)". The record is from RNAcentral. Lineage: Eukaryota; Viridiplantae; Streptophyta; Magnoliopsida; Arecales; Arecaceae.
CGGCUGGUUUUAUUUCUUUUUACCAUGUGAUGAUGCAUUGUCUUGUCUUUGAUUGCUCUUCGUUCUUUUGUCUAGGUAUCCUUGCCUUCGGAAUCUUUGGAUUGCAUUAACCAAGCAAGAAAAAUCUAGGAGGUAUUAAAUUAUCAUAUAUGUUAUGUGGCUCUAAAAUUAUAAGGUAAGUUUUCUAUUUUAUCGUAUGGUAUAUUUAUCAU